Molecule: ribosomal RNA, 232 nt
Filed under: uncultured bacterium
Lineage: Bacteria
Description: partial 16S ribosomal RNA
Rfam family: Bacterial small subunit ribosomal RNA
Source: RNAcentral
CGGACGGGUGAGUAAUGUCUGGGAAACUGCCCGAUGGAGGGGGGAAACUACUGGAAACGGUAGCUAAUACCGCAUAACGUCGCAAGACCAAAGAGGGGGACCUUCGGGCCUCUUGCCAUCGGAUGUGCCCAGAUGGGAUUAGCUAGUAGGUGGGGUAACGGCUCACCUAGGCGACGAUCCCUAGCUGGUCUGAGAGGAUGACCAGCCACACUGGAACUGAGACACGGUCCAG